This 300-nucleotide ribosomal RNA is filed under the name uncultured Glomus. Its description in RNAcentral is "SSU rRNA". It matches the Rfam family "Eukaryotic small subunit ribosomal RNA", at positions 569 to 877 of the family's 1831-position model. The record is from RNAcentral. Lineage: Eukaryota; Fungi; Glomeromycota; Glomeromycetes; Glomerales; Glomeraceae.
AGCAGCCGCGGUAAUUCCAGCUCCAAUAGCGUAUAUUAAAGUUGCUGCAGUUAAAAAGCUCGUAGUUGAAUUUCGGGACUAAUAUGUCGGUCGUGCCUCGGUACGUACUGGUAUUUUUGGUUUCUCCCUUCUGACGAACCUUGAUGUCAUUAAUUUGGUGUCUUGGGAAAUCAGGACUGUUACUUUGAAAAAAUUGAGUGUUUAAAGCAAGCUAACGCUUGAAUACAUUAGCAUGGAAUAAUGAAAUAGGACGUUCGAUCCUAUUUUGUUGUUCUAGGAUUGACGUAAUGAUUAAUAGGG